RNAcentral lists this ribosomal RNA (253 nucleotides) under uncultured bacterium. Its description in RNAcentral is "partial 16S ribosomal RNA". It matches the Rfam family "Bacterial small subunit ribosomal RNA", at positions 524 to 776 of the family's 1533-position model. The record is from RNAcentral.
GACAGAGGGUGCGAACGUUGUUCGGAAUUACUGGGCGUAAAGCGCAUGUAGGCGGCAACGCAAGUCGGGCGUGAAAUCCCACGGCUCAACCGUGGAAGUGCACUCGAAACUGCGUAGCUAGAGUCCUGGAGAGGAAGGUGGAAUGCUUGGUGUAGAGGUGAAAUUCGUAGAUAUCAAGCGGAACACCGGUGGCGAAGGCGGCCUUCUGGACAGUGACUGACGCUGAGGUGCGAAAGCGUGGGGAGCAAACAGG